CAGGGCAAUUUAGGUAUUUACUGUAUUUGAAAAUACAUGCAGCGGUAUACAUGAUGAGAUUACAUAUGCAAUUCUUGUCUUGUAAUAAACAGAAAAAAAAACAGCCGCACAUAUGGCGUUUACAACAAAAACAACUCUCGGAAAAAAAGAAAAGGCGAAGAUAAAGGCGGUCGAACGAAGCAUCAACUAGUGUGGUGUACAACACAUUUUACAUUUACAAUGAUCAGAUAAUGUGAACAAGGUUUCCGAUAAAUAGGGUUGGGGGUAUUUAGAGUUCACCUUUCACAUUACCUCUUUUAAGGAAAAGAAAAAAGCGAUCCAAUUUUUACUUUCUGAUGGAGAGAAAUUCGAAGCUUCGGAGAGGGUCGUCACGAGUGGGUUUAGUAGUACGAGAGAAAGACGGCGGUUUAUGAUCAACGCCAGCUGGCUGGAUUCUUUGUGUGGUGGAUAUUCGACCACCACUGCUCGAUACCACUCUGGUGGUUCUGCCAUCACUUGGAUCGCCCGACGAGUUUGGUCUACUGCUCGAAAUGGCUGCUCUCCUUGAAGAGCUGCCGUUUCGAGAAGUACGCCCUUUUUCCGAAUCCGGUUGCUGCAUUCAAUUGAACCCAUUGAAAUCCCUCUUAGUACCAAGUUCAAAGUCGAGAAAUAUAAAAAAAAAAAAAAAAUCCAGGAAUUUUAAUGCAAGAAAAAUCACGUACGACCAAAGUUAUAAAAGACGGAUGAUGCCUAAUUUUUUAAUGGGAUGGAUGGAUAAAGAACAAAUACCACAUCUUUGGAGGAAGGUACAUCUUCUGAUGUCUUGUUUCUAAAAUUUUGACCAUGUCGACCUGGACCUGCAGGAUUUCUUCUAGAGAAAGCUUCAACGGCACCUGAGAAUCGAUCUCGAAUAUCUUGCCCCAUUGAAGAAAACAAUAAAAUCAAAAAAAAACAAUAAGAAUGUUCUAAUUCACAUACUUCAACGGCAUUCCUUUAUUUUCAGGUUUCAGAAUCUUCGAUUAAUUAAUUGUCAAAAGGGACGGAAACUCAAAUCAUUUGACAGGUCAUUUCACACACACACACACACACACACACACACUGUACUUAAUUACCUGAUGUUCUUCCUGAUCUCUCACCAGAAGUUCCCGCAACAGCGUUACCGGUAGGAUUCUGCAAGCAAGUCAAUGAACCUUUACAUUCACACUAUCAAAGAUCAUAAAGCAACACACGAAAGAAUAUGCAAACACUUACCCUUGAUCUGGAACUUGCACCAAUCUGAGGAUACUUCAACAUAGUCCAAUCGAACACAUAAUCAAAUUGGUAACCUGCACGAAUAUUUCAAAAAGUGCACAUGAGAUACGAUACUCAAGCAGGAAUAGACAAGUAAUGAUCACAAAAUACCGUUCAAUAAGAAAAUCAACAAGAGUAUGAGAUUAGAACAUAUGGUACAGUUAUAUUAUUCAUUACCUUCACGAAUAAAUAAAUCCCGGAAAAGUCGCUUUAAAUAGGAGUAAUCUGGUUUGUCCUCAAAUCUUAACGACCGGCAAUAGUGAAAAUAAGAUAUGAAUUCUGAUGGAAAUGAUUUGCAAAGGACCUGAAAUAAUUGUAAAUCAUGUAAGCUUUCCACGAAUCACCAAAUCCAGGGAUUGAUCGGAAAACCCUAACCAAAUUUAGCAUUUAGGAUUAGGGGAACAUAAUACUUCUAAGUUCUAACUAACUAUUUAUUCUUCAAAAUCAUAUAGACAUGCAGAGAAGACUAACAAAAGAUAUUCUGCACAUUGCAUUUUCUUUUCCUUUUGGUUUCAUGUGCAUUAUGCACAAAUUAACACAUGGUACGUAGUUUCAAAUGGUUAAAGGAGUAUUACUCCUCAACCAAAUCUUAUUGCGGCAGGCAGAUCAAGCACCACGAUUAGUUUACAGUUUCAACCCGUCAAGUAUUACUAUCCACACAUUGAAAUCUUAAAGCAGCAUGAUCAAUCCAGAAAAUCAAGUGGAUUCAAUAAACUAGCAGGAGUAGGUAUUCAAGACACAAAUUUAUACAAAUGAACAGAGAUAAUUAACUGUUGUUUUCUAGCAGCAUACAAUUUUUCAACGACACAACCUACAUAAAAAAUGCAAGAAUGGAUAUUUAUAUGAACCUCUAUAGGCGUAAGCAUUUUCUUCUCGCUAAUCUUGUCAUAUUUCUGUUUUUUGGUGCCAGCUUUAAGUCCCUGCCAGGGAAGACUGAAAUGAAGAGAAUGUAGAGUAAGUAAAGGAAUGCCAAAAAAAAAAAAACAGAACAGUGACCGACAAGGAUCCGAAACAAAGUAGGAAAAAUGAAAGAAAUACGAUGUUGAAUGAUGUCGGAUACAAUCGAUGAUGCUUUGGACAACGACGAGGCUGAGGAUGAAACAGAGGACUUGACAAACCAGGUCAAUUAUUUAUUAAAUUUAUUUAAUCACUGCUACUGAUUAAUCCAAGUAUUGAUUCGUACCUACGAUGAAUGUGUAACAGGUGCUCGACGAAAUUGGUGUAGACGUCGUCUCACAGGUUUAUUCUUUUCUUUUUUUCUUGUUUUUUUUUUUUUAAUUAGGUAAUAUAACAACAUGUUGAGUUUUACUUAUGUUACCCCAAUUCAAUGUACAGUUGUCAUCUGCUCCAAAAGGAAAAAUUGCUGGGAAGAAGGCACAGGAUGUUGGCAGGUAUAUUUUAAUUAUAUUGAUGCCUCGAUCGUUUAUUACUCGAGCGCACAUGUGGGGCCCGCGUUUUAUAUUAAUUAUGAUAUCGUUCUUAUUUAUUGCAGUUCAAGCACUGAUGAUCUAGAGAAGAGAUUAGCUGCCCUCAGGAAUCCUUGAUAAGCCUGAGUUUAAUGUUGUCUUAAUUUGUACAUAAUAAUUCUCCUGCUGCAGUUUAAGGUUUCGCAGCUGUUUGAUCAUAACUUCGUCAUCAUCUUGCAUUUUUUUUUAAUUUUUUUUUUCUCGUGUGUUACAUUUUUGUAUCAUUACAGUAUGGUCUCGUAUUGUUUAUGCGUAUGGUUUUUUUUAUUAAUCCAUAAUUAGGUUCUCUCUCGCUAUAUAUAUAUAUAUAUUUAACAAGGAGGUCUAAACUCAAGCACGAGUAAAUGGAAAAUAUGUAUCAAGGGAGUAAUAAGACGUACCUGUAAUCCUGUAAAAUCGACAAUUGAACUCAGGUAUUUCCUUUCGUUUUUUUGCAACUAUUUUGAUAGCUUUAAUUAUGCAGAGCUAUAACUUGUUUUAAUGAUUUAAUCUUUAUGAUUUAAUAUUGUUUGAAUGGGUAAAAGUUAUUGAAGUGAAAUGUACUACAAAUUCAAUUUCCGAACUCUAUUGAUAAAAGAAAAUAUAGUUUAAUUUUUUAUUUUGAUAGGGUGAGAAAAUAAUUUAAAAUUAAACGUAUCGUGGUUUAGUUUAUAAAUAUGUUUGAAUAAAACUAUUCAUUUUAUUCUAAGAACUAUAUUCAAAAAGUGGAAUAAAUGUUGUAAUUAAUCUGUUUGAUGAAUGAAUUAAUGAAAUUAUAAUUAAUAUGUAAUUGGUUAAUAAUAGUAUAGUAAUAAUUAAUCAUUUUUGAAGAAAUAACAACUAAAUAUUUUUUUAUAUCUAUUGGGAAAGAAAUCUCAAAAUUAGUGAUAUAAUUUUCAAGAAUUCAAAUUUUAAACUUUCUAUAAUUUUUUUUUUCUCGUGAUGAAAAAUAAGAUUAAGAUUUAAUGUGUUUUUAAUAUUGUUAGUGCGUUUUAGUAUUAUCUUAUAUAUAAAAAGAAGAUAUUUUGACCUAUAACCCUAACCCUAAACUUAUGGGUAUUUUUGACAAUUUUUAUUCUCGCAGUUUCUUUUUUUUCGAAGGUAACGAUUAAAAUGAAAAAUAAAAGAAAAGUAAAAAACAACAAAAAAACACAGAAGACACGAUCAGUAACUGCUCUCCAUUCAUCUCACGUAUUCCGCUUCUCCCGAAAAUCCCUUUGAACACCAAAAACUGCAACAAAAAGUAAUUUUAUUUGGCACUGCUCAACAUUCUUCAUCUCCUGAAGCCAAGAAUUAUAGAGUUCCGGGAAGAUUGAAGAAACUCCCUUUUCAUCCCUCCCGUAGAAAACCUCAACGGAAUUUUCCAAGCUUCCAUAUUUCGGGUAUGAAUUGAAGGAAUAUGGCCGAAGAAAACAUCAAAUUUUUCAGUUUUGUUAAGUCCUUCUGUAUUCGGUGUAUGCAUGUUCUCAUGGAUUUGUUUUUUCUUCAAAAAUUAGGGGUCAUGUGAUUAUUCUAAAUAAACACACACUGAAAUGCAUAGAGUAAAAUCGGUGAAAUUGAGGUGAAAAAGGGGUUCAACUAACAUACGAGAUCAAUGACAGUGGACAGUUGCCCAUAGGCUUUCAUCAUUGGAAUCUGAUUCGUCAAAGGCCAAGCAAAAGUGCGGUGAUUCGACUCUGUUGGUGAUUUCGACCUCAUUAUUGUUUUCUUUUCGUUUUUUUUUAACUCUGUAGACAGGGUUAGGAUUUGAGUUGAUUUAAGUAUUUUUCCAUCGUUAUACGUCUAUCUGACGAGGAUAUAACUUAUCAAUUACCACUAAAAAACUUAUAGUAGCCUCCACUGAUGCGCAUAAUCUUGAACCCCCUCUGAAAGAGCUAACUAACAGCAAAUUAGUAAAUGUUGAGCCUCUCUCUGGGAGAAAAGAUGGUGGAAAAGAUAGAACACAUAAACCAUCACGGAUGUGGCUGUGGGAUGCAUUUUGGAACCGAGUUAAACCAUCCGGUAAAAUGAGUUUUUAUUAUUCAUACGGCAACGAUUAAAUUAGAAAAUAUUUAUGUUCAUAUUUUUAUUUUCAAACCUCAAUGCCUUCUAUGUAAAAUGCUAUAAGACAUAAGUGAUCUUUAAGCUUUUUUUUCUUGAUAGAAGUUGGAUCCGGAGUUACAACUAACAAGAGAUUUGGAAUCACUAAAGGAAGAGUGCCUUCUUAAUUAUGUAUGUAGUCUAUGCAGAACUAUAUUCUAAUUCUUGAUAUGGCUCUACUGUUUGGAAUGACAUGUUUGUAGCAGCAGCAAAUGGUGCGAGAAGUUCUCAUCUCCAUGCUUCCUCCUGGUGCGCUUCCUCGAGUAUUGCCCCCUUUUUGCAUUCUUUUUUUCCUGGCUUUUUAUGAACCUUGGAUUUAUUUAAAUGGAAACAUUAUUAAUACUAAUUACAUAUACUGUAUGGAAUUCGUAUCAAAAUGAUUUUAGGAUGAAAUAACACGAACAUCAAACGUUCAUGUAUUAUGUUUAUCGCGCAUGUAGAUUGUAGAUACCAACAUGUAAAAUGAAUUGUUCGAGAGUUGUUUUAUUUCUUCUUAAAUUCUUCGUAGGCGAAUUUAUUCAGUUUCUAUUUUUUGUUUUCAGAUAGUUUUUUUUUUUUUAAUAAUUUAUGUAUAUUCAUUAUUGUGUUUCACUUCAUAUAGCCUGGAUGCCUUGACAAGAACAAUUACGAAAAAAAAAACCCCAUUUCUGUUUUGCGUUUAUGUAAAAUUUGGUUUCAGAAAAAUGUGUUCACCUGCUCAAAUAUAAGAAGAUCAGGGUGUGCAAUACUUUUGCUAACAACAGAGGUAAGUCUGGAUAAAUUGUUUGAUGCAUCAGUUCUCAUGAAAUUCUCAAGUAGGGCCUGAUAAAGACAGAUCAAGUUCAUCUGACCAUGAAUAAAGAUCAAAUUCUAUUGCACGGUCACUUAAGCAUUCCCAGCCUACUCUCUCCUCCAAAAAUAAGUAUAUAGCCAAACUCAAAAGGAUGAGUGCACAGAUCUUUAUGUAUGGUUCUUUGGAUCGCAAUGUCCGCAAGUGGGAUCUUGUGUGAUCGAAUGCGUAUCAGGUUAGUACAUCUCAUUCUUAGUUUGCAUUUUUUUUCACUAAUAAUUUUACAUUUGACUUGAAUAUCUAUUAAUUUUACAUGUUGAUUCUGCAUUGAUUAAUUUACUUCUUUUGCCGACAUAUUGAGUUUUAGAAAAUCCACCUUCUCAUGGACAUAGAAGAUUACUUUGUCUGUGAUAUUAAUCGAAAUUUAUAUUCAAAACUUUAAGACAUUCGGGCACAUGAUAUGGUUAUUGGAAUUAUUGGAGUGCCUCCAAGAUUGUUUUGCUUUUAAAGGACAUAUCUGAUGUGUGCUCACUAAUGUAGCUUUCUGGGAAUUUUACAUCUGUUUGCAGUGAUGAUGGAAGGAUGUGCGAUCAAAUUAUUCGAUUCUAGAUUAUUUUUCCUAUGAGAUCCAUUUUUAUAUUUAGGGUUCUUUCGAUACUAAAAGAUGUGUAUUAUAUAACAAAUUGUUACAAGUAUUAUUCUCUAUUGCACACAAUUAACUUUUUUAUUAUUCACUAUCAAGUUCAAUUGUUCCAUAUUGCAAGUAUGAAAAAAUGUAUAUUACUACAACUUUUAAUGUAAAUAUCUUCUGAUUUAUUAACACUACACGAAAAAAACAUAAAAAAUAAUGUGUUUGCUUAAUUGUGACAAAAGUCUCGAGAGAGUAAUGCGAUGAAGCAAAAUAUAUCUUGAGAUGCAUAAAAUGUGAAUAUGGUUUAACCUAAUAAAAUCAAUUCAACUGUUGAAAGUUAAAAAAUACAGUUUCAUGUAUUAGCUCAACAUAGAAAUGUAGAUGACCAAUCAUGUGAUUCAACAAGAAAAUGUUCCGAUAAAACUAAAAAUGAAUUAUAUUAUGUUUGCCAAAAAAUAAAUUUCAUCCUCGACAAUUCUCUAUUAACUUUGCUAUGACUAAUUGACUAUAAACGAAAGUCACGAGUAAUCUCUCCAACAUGUUGGCAUUUAAAAAUACUCAUCACCGACAAAGAAGAACAUACUCCAAAUAUUACAAGAAAGGUUUUACAAAAUUAAGUAUUUUAAAUUUACUAUAAUUAUAUCAUUUGGUAUUCUUUCCUACCAUAUUUAUCACUUACAAUAAAUAUACACUUCCAAUAACUCCCCAUAAUAACUUCUCACAUCCAUCGUAUAUAAACAUAUAUGGGAGACGGACCUAAGACUCGAACACAAGUCUAUUGUGUAUUAGAAGAGACGCUGACCACCUAAGUCAGAGCAAAUUUGUUAACUAAUACUUAUUUAAAUAUAAUACAUCAUUUCGUUUAUACUGGGCUGAAAAAAUAAUUGAACUGGCCGACCGGUUUAGAACCGGCAUGUGGACCGAACGCCGGAACUAAUUUUCCACGCUUAAAAUGGGCGUGUGAAAGCAGUUUCCACGCCUGGUUUAGGCGUGUAAACUGCUUUCACACUCCCAUUUUAGGCGUGGAAAAUUCGAAAACCCAACACUAAAAAUAAUCAUAAAUCGCGAUUUUCUGGGGAUUUUCACAUGAUUAACCAUAAAUUCAAUAUAUAUAACUACUUUAGAUGAUUAAUUACCUUUCAGAUUGACGAGAUUUUCGGAUUUGAAAGAAUUUAUCAGAGAGAUUUGUGAAAGAGGAUGAGAAUUAAUCACGACCAUUUGAAGUAUAAUACAUAAGGAAAGUAAACAGCUGUCAUUAAUAUCCUUCCCUGUCCAAUUUCUUUGCAGUUUAAAUACUAGCUAAUGUUAAUAUUAUUAUUAUUAAUAAUAUUAAUUUUAAUACUAAUUCUAAUAUUUUAAUAUUAAUCAUAUUUUUAAUGUCAAUGUUAAUGUUAAUACUGUUUUGCUAUUUAGCUAUUUAUUGUUUAAUAGUAGUGCAAUAUAGAUACGGCCACGGGCCGGGUUCGACCCGGAUUCGGUCCAGACCCGACCCGAAGACCGCCCCGCCCCACUCCACCCUAUUGAUCAUUGACCCGGACCCGGACCUGAUAAAGUACGGGUCGGUUUUGGGUCCCAAUUUUUGGGAUUUCUUUGAUACUUACAAAUGAAGUCCCUACUCCUAUUUAUACUAGACCAAUUCCUCAAUGAAUAAUGAAAAUCUCUCUGAUCUAAUGGAUAGGAAUAGUUGUUCACUAGAAUACUCCAAAUAAUUCCUACAAAAAUUUUUCUAUAAUUAUCUAGGGAAUCUCUACAAGGUCUAUUACAUUUGGGUCAACUUCGGCCUAACCAAAAAAUCUGGGACUCGGGUAAUUGACAAAGAGUUGGGCCCAACAGUUGGUGUGUGAUAUUUUAUUUAUUUCCUUAAUUCACUCAUUUAUUUCCUUAAUUAGCGUGUUUACUUCUUUUCCUUUAGUUACUAUCCUUACUUUUCAAUUUCUUACAACGUUUUUCAAUUUCUUGCAACGUAAGCAUACAAAAAUUAUUUCAUAAUGUAUUAUAAUUUUAUAAUUAAUUUAUGGGGAAACUACAGAUAAAUCCCUAAUCCAAAACUCAAAACACAGAUCAGUCCCUAGGUAGUUUCCCCAAGCAAUUCAGUCCCUAUUCACGCGUCUGACAUGCAGAUCAGUCCCUAAUGUUAAUUUUAUAUAUUUUAUUAUAUUUUCUCUCUUCUUUUUCACUCUCACCAUUUUCUCUCUCCUCCUUUUUUCUCUCUUCAUUUUCUCUCUCUUCAUCUUCUCUUUCUUUCUUCUCUUUCUUCAUUUCUAUCUGCUCUCUUUCUUCUCUAUUUCUUCUCUCUUUCUCUCCUCUGGUUUCCUCUUUUUUCCGACGAAAAAAUCACUGUAAAACCCACCCACCCAACAAUGGCUACAAAUGAUGUAUCUAAUGAUGUACCCACAGUGAUUCUUGGAAGUUGUCGAUACAAAGAUCAACUUCACAUUAUUUCCAUCAAAAGUAAUUCGACCUUAAUGGAGAUAUAUGGUGCUAUUAUCAACAAAUGGAAUCAUAUCCAUCCAUAUGCACUGAUCCUCCAAUACUUGGCUCAUCGGGAAAGAUUGUAUGUGACAUUGGGCAGUGAUGAAGAUGUGGAGAAUAUGGUUGCAUUGCAUCUGAUAAUGAAGAUGAGUGUGGUCGACAUUGUCGUGAUCCGCAAAGAUGCUAAUUCGCGUGGAAAGAGGGUUCGCACCGAUGGUUCGUGAAUAUAGUACGCUUUGUUCACCAAAUAAGUACAAUGUAUAAGCUGGUAAAGUUCGGGUUAUUCGUGAAUAUAGUACGCUUUAUUCACCAAAUAAGUACAAUAUAUAAGCUGGUAAAGUUUGGGUUGUUCGUGAAUAUAGUACGUUUUAUUCACCAAAUAAGUACAAUGUAUAAGCUGGUAAAGUUUGGGUUAUUCGUGAAUAUAGUACGCUUUGUUCAUCAAGUAGGUACAAUGAAUACACAUGUGAAGUACAAGUGAUUCGUGACUAUAGUACGCUUUGUUCACUGAUAAAGUAUAUGUUUGUCAUUCAUAUAGUAUUGUUACACUCUAUAUAUUAUUGUCGGGCCAAUGCAUCCAUAUGAUCGCAUUUGAAGACACAACUCUUCAGUUUAAGACUAUUAAGAAUGAAUGGAGACAAUGUGGGAGUUGAUCAAUAUCGAUUAUGGUAACAAUUGAGGAAAAUAUUAGUUUUACACUUGCGCAUUGUGGGUUUGUAUGAAUAUAUUGUAUAGUAUAUGAGUAUCAUGUAUGAAAUUCAACAUAUUUAUGGGAUCUUGUAUUCCAAAUGCAACAAUAAUGCUCACCUACCUUAAAAUAAUCAUCUAAAACAUAAUUUAUGCAUCUCCCGUACUUAUUGAUCAUUAAGCGUCAAUGAAAUUGGUACAAUUCAAUUCAUCAAAAAAUAUGGUACGCUUUGUUCAUCAAGUAAGUACAAUGAAUACACAUGUGAAGUACAAGUGAUUCGUGACUAUAGUACGCUUUGUUCACUGAUAAAGUAUAUGUUUGCCAUUCAUAUAGUAUUGGUAUACUCUAUAUAUUAUUUUCGGGCCAAUGCAUCCAUAUGAUCGCAUUUGAAGACACAACUCUUCAGUUUAAGACUAUUAAGAAUGAAUGGAGACAAUGUGGGAGUUGAUCAAUAUCGAUUAUGGUAACAAUUGAGGAAAAUAUUAGUUUUACACUUGAGCAUUGUAGGCUUGUAUGAAUAUAUUGUAUAGUAUAUGAGUAUCAUGUAUGAAAUUCAACAUAUUUAUGGGAUCUUGUAUUCCAAACGCAACAAUAAUGCUCACCUACCUUAAAAUAAUCAUCUAAAACAUAAUUUAUGCAUCUCCCGUACUUAUUGAUCAUUAAAGCGUCAAUGAAAUUGGUACAAUUCAAUUCAUCAAAAAAUAUGGUACGCUUUGUUCAUCAAGUAAGUACAAUGAAUACACAUGUGAAGUACAAGUGAUUCGUGACUAUAGUACGCUUUGUUCACUGAUAAAGUAUAUGUUUGCCAUUCAUAUAGUAUUGUUAUACUCUAUAUAUUAUUUUCGGGCCAAUGCAUCCAUAUGAUCGCAUUUUAAGACACAACUCUUCAGUUUAAGACUAUUAAGAAUGAAUGGAGACAAUGCGGGAGUUGAUCAAUAUCGAUUAUGGUAACAAUUGAGGAAAAUAUUAGUUUUACACUUGAGCAUUGUAGACUUGUAUGAAUACAUUGUAUAGUAUAUGAGAAUCAUGUAUGAAAUUCAACAUAUUUAUGGGAUCUUGUAUUCCAAACGCAACAAUAAUGUUCACCUACCUUAGAAUAAUCAUCUAAAACAUAAUUUAUGCAUCUCCCGUACUUAUUGAUCAUUAAAGCGUCAAUGAAAUUGGUACAAUUCAAUUCAUCAAAAAAUAUGGUACGCUUUGUUCAUCAAGUAAGUACAAUGAAUACACAUGUGAAGUACAAGUGAUUCGUGACUAUAGUACACUUUGUUCACUGAUAAAGUAUAUGUUUGCCAUUCAUAUAGUAUUGUUACACUCUAUAUAUUAUUGUCGGGCCAAUGCAUCCAUAUGAUCGCAUUUGAAGACACAACUCUUCAGUUUAAGACUAUUAAGAAUGAAUAGGAACAAUGUGGGAGUCGAUUAUGGUAAGUUUUUCGUGAAGUACGCUUUGUUCAUCAAGUAAGUACAAGUCUAGUGUUGACAAGGUAUCUUCGAAUAGACUAGGAAGUAUUUGUUGCUCAUUUUUAUGGUACGCUUAUAUUCUUUAUACAAACUAAUUAAUCGCAAAAUAAAGUACCAUGUGUUCAAAAGGUAAGUACAUUUCAUCGAAACAUAUAGUACAAUGUAUACAAUGGAAAAGUACGAGUAGAGCUAAUCAAUAGUAUUAUUAGCUCUACAACAAAAGGACAGAUUGUUUAUGGCACAAAAACACAUUCAUCUGUUUGAAAAGCGAUCGGUGAGCACCUGCAGCCUAUUGAUAGCUUGCUGCAAUCUUCUUUUACAUCAAUUCCUGCAAUUACAUACACAUAAAACUACAAUUAUAACAAAUACAACGUACUAUAAAGUUCCACUACUAGUACUUUCAGUAAUUUCGUUCAAUACCAUCCAAAUGCACGAGCAAUUCCAUUGUUGCAUAUGACACACACUACAUUACAAUCAAACAUUAUACUAUUCGAUUGCACUAGCAAUGCCAUUCAAAGACACUAGCAAUACUAUUGUGGCAUAUGACACAUACUACAGAACCAUCAAAGAUUAUACUUCCAGUACCCUGUGUUAAUACCGUCCGAAGUCAAGAGCAAUACCAUUAUUACAUAUGACAUAUCCCUUGUUGGGACUAAAUUCUUUCGGGACAGUACUUCGAUUACCCUGUGUCAAUACCAUCUAAAUGCACUAUUAAUACCAUUAUUGCACAUGACACAUACUAUAGAACCAGUACGAAAAAUACAAUAAGCCUCUUUCCAAUAUCCUAUAUGAAACCCUUGUUAGGACUAAAAUGCUUUGGGGACAUGCUAAUGUCACCGAAGAAUAAUACCCAUGAGAAAACUGUUACAAAAUCAUGAAAUUCGAUAACAAAUAAAUGAUCUUUGCAAACCCAAACAACAAAACAACAGAUAUUGGAACCGAUUUAAUGAUUAGGGGAAACACCGAAUAAAGUCGAGGCAUAAUACCCAUGAGUGGAUAUGUUCAAAAUCAUGCAAUUCUAUAACAAAUAAACCUUUUGCAAGCUUAAGCAACACCCAAAUGGGUCUGUUUCCAAGAAAAUGAAAAAAAAAAAAAAUCAAACCUUGUUGUUUACCCUGCUUCACCAUUGUCUAUAAAUGGGUUUGUUUAUUUUUAUUUUUCCUUUCGCUUUAUUAUUUUUCUGCGUUUUGUUGAUUCUUCGUGCUUCGUAAUUUCUUCGUUCUUUGUUGUUUCUUUGUUCUUCGUUUCUUCUUUGUUUCUUCUUGGUCUGAAAAUGAGUAUAAACUGAACGGUGGUUUGAAAUGUAACGGGCAAAGAGCGUGUAACACAAACGGCGCGUUGGAAGUUGAAAAGAAGUUAUGUAAAAUUAGUAUAAAGUAAAGGGUAUUUUAGUAUUUGCACAUUUUAUUAGGGACUGAUCUGCAUGUUAGGCGCGUGAGUAGGGACUUAAUUGCUUGGGGAAACUACCUAGGGACUGAUCUGUGUUUUGAGUUUUGGAUUAGGGAUUUAUCUGUAGUUUCCCCUUAAUUUAUUCAAUAUGGAUUUUUUUUUGAGAACUAUAUGGAAAUAUUUAAAUGAAAAUUGAUUUAUUUCAUAUCGAACUAAUACUUGGCUAAUUACUACUAAUAUUAACAUAUACGUACAACAAAAUAGGUGGACCUUGUUAUGACAUCAGAUAUAAGUAACAUGUUUAAAUUGUUUUUUAUUAUGAAAACAUGUAAUGAAUACUUUACCAUAUUGUGGAAAGUGGAAAUUAAUGUUGGAUAAUUAAUAAAUUUAUGUAAAUAGAAUAAAUAAUUACACGCAUGAAACGAGUAAGAUUCCACGUAGCUAAGGGAAUUAAAUAGAUAGAUAGAUUAUUAAAUUUUAUAUAAUAUAUAGAUAGAUUUAAAAAGAAGAAAAUGAAUUGAAAAAAAUAACAAACACGUUAAAUUUUUAAAUCACUGUUCACCUUUGAAGAAGUUUUGAAAAAGAAAAUUAUAGGAAACUUCAAAUUUGAAUAAUUGAAAAUUAUUUAGGCACAAAAAACAUUUAUAAUGUAUAAUAAUAAAUCCCACCAGCAUCACCAAUAUAGUCCGGUUCAAGAUAUUCUUGACCCAUCUUUUAGAACAGGGCAAUUUAGGUAUUUACUGUAUUUGAAAAUACAUGCAGCGGUAUACAUGAUGAAAUUACAUAGGCAAUUCUUUUGUCUGGUAAUAAACAGAAAAAAAAAAAAAAAAAAAAAAACAGCCGCACAUAUGGCGUUUACAACAAAAACAACUCUCGGAAAAAGAAAAAAAAAAGAAAAGGCGCGGUAGAACGAAGCAUCAACUAGUGUGGUGUACAACACAUUUUACAUUUACAAUGAUCAGAUAAUGCGAACAAGAUUUCCGAUAAAUAGGGUUGGGGGUAUUUAAAGUUCACCUUUCACAUUACCUCUUUUAAGGAAAAGAAAAACGCGAUCCAAUUUUUACUUUCUGAU
Molecule: long non-coding RNA, 13272 nt
Filed under: Erythranthe guttata (spotted monkey flower)
Lineage: Eukaryota; Viridiplantae; Streptophyta; Magnoliopsida; Lamiales; Phrymaceae
Description: long non-coding RNA (EGUT_LNC000025)
Source: RNAcentral